ACUCCUACGGGAGGCAGCAGUGGGAAUCUUGCGCAAUGGGCGAAAGCCUGACGCAGCGACGCCGCGUGCGGGAUGACGGCCCUAGUGGUUGUAAACCGCUUUCAGCAGGGACGAAAAUGACGGUACCUGCAGAAGAAGUCCCGGCUAACUACGUGCCAGCAGCCGCGGUAAUACGUAGGGGACAAGCGUUGUCCGGAUUCAUUGGGCGUAAAGAGCUCGUAGGCGGUUCAGUAAGUUGGGUGUGAAAGCUCCGGGCUCAACCCGGAGAGGCCACUCAAUACUGCUGUGACUAGAGUCCAGUAGAGGAGCGUGGAACUCCUGGUGUAGCGGUGAAAUGCGCAGAUAUCAGGAAGAACACCGGCAGCGAAGGCGGCGCUCUGGGCUGGUACUGACGCUGAGGAGCGAAAGCAUGGGUAGCAAACAGGAUUAGAUCCCCUGGUAGGCUCUGCU
RNAcentral lists this ribosomal RNA (450 nucleotides) under uncultured bacterium. RNAcentral describes it as "bacterial SSU rRNA". It matches the Rfam family "Bacterial small subunit ribosomal RNA", at positions 335 to 801 of the family's 1533-position model. The record is from RNAcentral.